RNAcentral lists this ribosomal RNA (253 nucleotides) under uncultured bacterium. RNAcentral describes it as "partial 16S ribosomal RNA". It matches the Rfam family "Bacterial small subunit ribosomal RNA", at positions 524 to 776 of the family's 1533-position model. The record is from RNAcentral.
UACAGAGGUCUCAAGCGUUGUUCGGAUUCAUUGGGCGUAAAGGGUGCGUAGGUGGCGCCAUAAGUCAGGUGUGAAAUCUCGGGGCUCAACCCCGAAACUGCAUUUGAUACUGUGGUGCUCGAGUACUGGAGAGGAGAUUGGAAUUUACGGUGUAGCAGUGAAAUGCGUAGAUAUCGCAAGGAAGACCAGUGGCGAAGGCGAAUCUCUGGACAGUUACUGACACUGAGGCACGAAGGCCAGGGGAGCAAACGGG